Molecule: ribosomal RNA, 127 nt
Filed under: uncultured bacterium
Lineage: Bacteria
Description: partial 16S ribosomal RNA
Source: RNAcentral
UGUCACAGCUGCACGCUAUUAACGUACAACCUUUCUUCCCAAUUGAAAGUGCUUUACAACCCUAAGGCCCUCUUCACACACGCGGCAUGGCUGCGUCAGGCUUUCGCCCAUUGCGCAAUAUUCCCCA